UACGUAGGGUGCGAGCGUUAAUCGGAAUUACUGGGCGUAAAGGGUGCGCAGGCGGCCGCGCAAGUCGAGUGUGAAAGCCCCGAGCUUAACUUGGGAAUUGCGCUCGAAACUACGUGGCUGGAGUGUGGCAGAGGAAGGUGGAAUUCCACGUGUAGCGGUGAAAUGCGUAGAGAUGUGGAGGAACACCGAUGGCGAAGGCAGCCUUCUGGGCCAACACUGACGCUCAUGCACGAAAGCGUGGGGAGCAAACAGG
This 253-nucleotide ribosomal RNA is filed under the name uncultured bacterium. RNAcentral's name for it is "partial 16S ribosomal RNA". It matches the Rfam family "Bacterial small subunit ribosomal RNA", at positions 524 to 776 of the family's 1533-position model. The record is from RNAcentral.